RNAcentral lists this small RNA (719 nucleotides) under Pongo abelii (Sumatran orangutan). RNAcentral's name for it is "processed transcript". Lineage: Eukaryota; Metazoa; Chordata; Mammalia; Primates; Hominidae. The record is from RNAcentral.
GUAGCAUUGAAGAUGAUUUUGAUGUAUGUAAAAUUAAGCAUAUUAAUCUAAGAAUCUCUCUCCACAUUCGUAGGAUGUAAUCCCUGUUCAUUACUACUUAAUACCUCCACCAACAAAGACUAAGAAUGGCAGCAAAGAUAAGGAAAAAGAUUCAGAAAAAGAGAAAGAUUUAAAAGAAGAGUUUACUGAAGCAUUACGAGAUCUUAAAAUUCAGUGGAUGACAAAGCUGGAUUCUAGUGACAUUUAUAACGAAUUGAAAGAAACAUAUCCUAAUUAUCUUCCUCUGUAUGUUGCACGACUUCAUCAAUUGGAUGCUGAAAAGGAACGAAUGAAAAGACUUAAUGAAAUUGUUGAUGCGGCAAAUGCUGUUAUUUCUCAUAUAGAUCAAACAGCCCUAGCAGUUUAUAUUGCAAUGAAGACUGAUCCCAGGCCUGAUGCAGCUACUAUAAAAAAGUACCUAACCAGUUGCCUUCUGAUUUCUGCAUCAUUCCAGCCCUUCUCUGGGCAGCCAGGAUCCAUCAGGCAGCAUUUGCCGAGUCUGCCCUGCAGACUCUGGCCGAGCGACGGAUGAAAGGAGUGCUCAGACACAGUGACAUGGACAAACAAAAAUCCACCCUCGUAGAUGCCCUUUGUAGGAAAGGUUGUGCCCUGGCAGACCAUCUUCUUCACACCCAGGCUCAAGAUGGAGCCAUUUCCACUGAUGCAGAAGGGAAGGAGGA